CCUACGGGAGGCAGCAGUAGGGAAUCUUCCGCAAUGGACGGAAGUCUGACGGAGCAACGCCGCGUGAGUGAGGAAGGCCUUCGGGUCGUAAAGCUCUGUUGUUCGUGAAGAAGGGGUUGGCCAGGAAAUGGGCCGACAUUGACGGUAGCGAACCAGAAAGCCCCGGCUAACUACAUGCCAGCAGCCGCGGUAAU
Molecule: ribosomal RNA, 194 nt
Filed under: uncultured bacterium
Lineage: Bacteria
Description: partial 16S ribosomal RNA
Rfam family: Bacterial small subunit ribosomal RNA
Source: RNAcentral